UGAGCAACCUACCGAAAUGAGGGGGAUAGCCGGCCCAACGGCCGGGUAAUACCGCAUACGCUCGAGACCAGGCAUUUGGACUCGAGGAAACCUCCGGGGCAUUUCGAGGGGCUCGCGGCCUAUCAGCUAGUUGGUGAGGUAACGGCUCACCAAGGCGACGACGGGUAGCUGGUCUGAGAGGAUGGCCAGCCACAUUGGGACUGAGAUACCGGCCCAGACCUCCGUACGGGAGGCAG
Molecule: ribosomal RNA, 236 nt
Filed under: uncultured bacterium
Lineage: Bacteria
Description: partial 16S ribosomal RNA
Rfam family: Bacterial small subunit ribosomal RNA
Source: RNAcentral